GAUGAACGCUAGCUACAGGCUUAACACAUGCAAGUCGAGGGGAAACGACAUCGAAAGCUUGCUUUUGAUGGGCGUCGACCGGCGCACGGGUGAGUAACGCGUAUCCAACCUGCCCACCACUUGGGGAUAACCUUGUGAAAGUAAGACUAAUACCCAAUGACGUCUCUAGAAGACAUCUGAAAGAGAUUAAAGAUUUAUCGGUGAUGGAUGGGGAUGCGUCUGAUUAGCUUGUUGGCGGGAUAACGGCCCACCAAGGCGACGAUCAGUAGGGGUUCUGAGAGGAAGGUCCCCCACAUUGGUACUGAGACACGGUCCAAACUCCUACGGGAGGCAGCAGUGAGGAAUAUUGGUCAAUGGAGGCAACUCUGAACCAGCCAAGUAGCGUGCAGGAUGACGGCCCUAUGGGUUGUAAACUGCUUUUAUGCGGGGAUAAAUUGACUCACGUGUGGGUCAUUGCAGGUACCGCAUGAAUAAGGACCGGCUAAUCCGUGCCAGCAG
This 498-nucleotide ribosomal RNA is filed under the name uncultured bacterium. Its description in RNAcentral is "bacterial SSU rRNA". It matches the Rfam family "Bacterial small subunit ribosomal RNA", at positions 28 to 514 of the family's 1533-position model. The record is from RNAcentral.